GUCUGUGACAUGUUGGCGACAAAGCUUACCGCGCGCGGCAGUUGUGUGAAUUGCCUUCGCGAUGUUAUUGUGUUUUAAGGUUAUGUUGACUGUGUAGAUUGGCGGGUUAUUGCAGGUUGCUUUUCGUUCGCUAUUUUUUUUUGUACUAAACAUAUAAGUGCGUCAGAAGAAGCCUAAGUGCAUCUUUAAUUAACAGUUUCCAUUCGUCAUAAAGACGGGUGUCUCAGGCUCUCACGUGAGGUGCAACUCGUGCGUCGAGAUUUUCCAUCAGCAGUGGUGGAAUUAUUAGAAUUCCCUUAAACAGCCAUAAAGACAAAAGAGUAAUUUGUGCAGCUGCAUUUAGCUCGUCGUUAACAGCUUUUUUAGGCGUGAGAAAAUUGGUAAUAAGAAAGCUGUUAGCCGCAACUGAAGUGUCUCACAUUUCACACAGUCAUAAUUUUAGGUCCAUGGAUAGUACAUCAAAGCUACUCCAGAUAACAUUAGAGCCCAAAUUUUCAUGUGCACAUACCAAAGGAGUAACCAUUAUUUUGAACUUGUAUGAACCUCCUCAAUUCCAUGAAGGAGUGAAAAAUGUGGAGGGACAGAAAGUUACUGUACUUGAACUGAAAGCCAGAACAGUGGAGCCAGAGCCAGAUGUCCAUUGCUGAGUAACAACUCGGAAAUCACAUUCCCAUUAAAACGCAUGGCAGUGAAUGAGUGGUUACCAGGUAUCGAGAUUACCAUGACAACCAACAGGACAACAGAGGACAAUUCAGUGGUCAACAUGGUGUCUUCUGUAUGGGCUGUCUAGCAGUUAUAAAAGGCAGUGGAUUGGUGAAUUCAAGAGAGUAGGAGAGAUCAGCCCAAGAUUCGUGAGAGAUUUACAAGACAGACUUCGUUAAGGAGUUCAAUGUAUGAGCUGUUACAUAAUCAGUUGUAAUUGUAAAGAAGUGCCAAUAAAUCCAAUGAUCACA
Molecule: long non-coding RNA, 953 nt
Organism: Cryptotermes secundus
Lineage: Eukaryota; Metazoa; Arthropoda; Insecta; Blattodea; Kalotermitidae
Exons: 2
Source: RefSeq, a predicted model, not a curated record